This 428-nucleotide ribosomal RNA is filed under the name uncultured bacterium. RNAcentral describes it as "bacterial SSU rRNA". It matches the Rfam family "Bacterial small subunit ribosomal RNA", at positions 56 to 527 of the family's 1533-position model. The record is from RNAcentral.
UGCAGUCGUACGAGAGUUUUGAACUCAAGUGGCGGACGGGUGAGUAACACGUAAGAAUUUGCCUUUAGGAGGGGGACAACAACUGGAAACGGUUGCUAAUACCCCAUAUGCUUUCGAGUGAAACGGUUUUUCCGCCUAAAGAGAAGCUUGCGGCUGAUUAGCUUGCUGGUAAGGUAAUGGCUUACCAAGGCGACGAUCAGUAUCUGGUUUGAGAGGACGAUCAGACACACUGGAACUGAGACACGGUCCAGACUCCUACGGGAGGCAGCAGUGGGGAAUUUUCCGCAAUGGGCGAAAGCCUGACGGAGCAAUACCGCGUGAGGGAUGAAUGCCUAUGGGUUGUAAACCUCUUUUUUCAGGGAGGAAUCAAUGACGUUACCUGAAGAAUAAGCAUCGGCUAACUCCGUGCCAGCAGCCGCGGUAAUACG